GUGCACACACUGAAAUGUCUCGCCUUCUAUACUUAUCAUUGAUAUUAUGUUGAUAGUCCAAAGUAUAAAGCUAAGCUUUAUUACAACUGUCACAUAAACUUAACAUUAACCAAGAUAACUAAACAAAGACCAAUGAACCUUGAAAAUUAGUUCAAGGUCAGAUAAACCAUGCCAGGCAGACAUGUACAGCUAACAAUGCUUCUAUAAAACAUAUAUAGUUGACCCAUUACUUAAAGUUUAAGAAAAAUCUAGACCAAAACACAAAAACUUAACACUGUGAAAUGAACCGUGAAAAUGAGGUCACGGUCAAAUAAAACCUGCGCGACUGACAUAAAGAUCAUAAAAUAUUUCCAUACCCCAAAUAUAGUUGAC
This 372-nucleotide long non-coding RNA is filed under the name Mytilus galloprovincialis (Mediterranean mussel). Lineage: Eukaryota; Metazoa; Mollusca; Bivalvia; Mytilida; Mytilidae. The record is from RNAcentral.